This is a long non-coding RNA of Mya arenaria, 473 nucleotides long. RefSeq lists it as uncharacterized. The transcript is spliced from 2 exons. Lineage: Eukaryota; Metazoa; Mollusca; Bivalvia; Myida; Myidae. The record is from RefSeq and is a predicted model, not a curated record.
UGUUUUAGAAGGGUUUUAUACAGAGUCGAAAUUGACGAUUGUCGAUGUCUAUAUUUUCAGUUCUUCAAGCUAUCAGUUUAUGAUUUGAACAGUUGCAUAAAAAUCACGUUGUUAUACGCUUGGAUACAUUAAAAAUAGAAGCCUAAUACAGUUAUGGGAAACGUUUUUGAAAAAAAUAAAGGAAAUGAAAAAGGAAAAGGCGAAACUCAAGAUCAACCGACGACGGAUAAACCUGACCAGUGUGAACUUGUCAGGCCCAUAUUAUUGGACCUGCUUCAUGGGGUAUGGAGACCGGCAAACCAACAGAUUGCACGUUACAACUGAAGGAUUUCAUUUAUGUAGCAACUUAAUUGUUGAAAGGACAAAAUAAUCGUCUUACAAACUUUUAAAAUAUGAUUUAGAAGGAUAAUAUUGAAAGAGCAGCGUAUUUCCUCUGUUAAAGAAAUAAACAAAGAAAAUAAACCGGUUGAGUA